UACAGAGGGUGCAAGCGUUAAUCGGAAUUACUGGGCGUAAAGCGCGCGUAGGUGGUUUGUUAAGUUGAAUGUGAAAUCCCCGGGCUCAACCUGGGAACUGCAUGCAAAACUGGCAAGCUAGAGUAUGGUAGAGGGUGGUGGAAUUUCCUGUGUAGCGGUGAAAUGCGUAGAUAUAGGAAGGAACACCAGUGGCGAAGGCGACCACCUGGACUGAUACUGACACUGAGGUGACGAAAGCGUGGGGAGCAACAGG
Molecule: ribosomal RNA, 253 nt
Filed under: uncultured bacterium
Lineage: Bacteria
Description: partial 16S ribosomal RNA
Rfam family: Bacterial small subunit ribosomal RNA
Source: RNAcentral